UAGAUAACAUUUAGCUAGACUUUGGACUUGGAAUUGAUGCUGGAAUGAGUUGAGCCUUUUGGAGAUGUUGGGAUGAGGUGAAUGUAUUUCGCAUAUGAGAAGAAUGUGAAUUUGGGGGAGCUAGAUGGCAGAAUGUUAUGGACGGAAUUGUGUCCCCCAAAUGUACAUGUUGCAGCCCCAACCCCCCACGUGACGGCAUUUGGAGAUGGGACCUUUAAAAAAGAAUCACUAGAUGUGAACAUGUGGAAUGAAUAAGCAAGGGGGUCCUACUGUACAGCACAGGAAACUAUGUCCAAUCUCUUAGCGCAGAACAGGAUGGAAGAUAGUAUGAGAAAAGCAAUGUAUGGAUAUGUAUGCCUGGGUCACUGCUGUACAGCAGAAAUUGAUACAACACUAUAAAUCAGCUGUAAUAUUUUAAAAAUAUUUUUAAAAAGGUCCUUAAGGUUAAAUGGGGGAGUUCCUAUCGUGGCGCAACAGAAAUGAAUCUAAUUAGGAACCAUGAGGUUGCGGGUUUGAUCCCUGGCUUCACUCAGUCAGUUAAGGAUCUGGCGUUGCCAUGAGCUGUGGUGUAGGUCACAGACGCGGCUUGGAUCUGGCGUGGCUGUGGCGUGGGCUGGCGGCUACGGCUCCAAUUUGACCCUUAGCCUGGGAACCUCCAUAUGCCGUGGGAGUAGCCCUAAAAAAAAAAAAAAAAGUUACAUGAGGUCAUAAGGGUGGGGCCCUAAUCCAGCAGUACUGACAUCUUUAUAAGAGACACCAGAGAGCUCUCUCUGUCCUCAUGUACACAGAGAAAAGGCCAAGAAGGUGCAUCUGCCAGCAGAGGAGGGAGUCUCAGCAGAAACCAAACUGGUCGGCACCUUGAUCUUGAUUUUGAUCUUCCAGCCUCAAGAACUAUGAGAAAAUACAUUUCUGUUGUUUAAGGUUCUCAGUCUAUAAAUAUUUUGUUAUGACAGCCUGAACAGACAAAUGCAAUUCCCCACAACAAUUGAUGAGUGAGCGGCUCAUGCAGGCUUGGAGUUGAGUUGUUGCAUUCAGUGAUCCAAUUACUCAGCCUAUAUUUAAGUUCGACUAUGUGUCAGACACUAUUAGACUCUGGGUUUCAGUGGCAAGCAACACGGUCACAGUUCCUGUCCUUGUGGAGAUUAUUUUUAUUUUAUUUAUUAUUAUUAUUAUUUUGCUUUUUAGGGCCGCACCUGCAGCAUGUGGAGGUUCCCAGGCUAGAGGUCCAGUCGGAGCUGUAGCUGCUGGCCUAUGCCAGAGCCACAGCAACACCAGAUCCAAGCCCGUCUGCGACCUACACCUCAGCUCUCGGCAACGCCAGAUCCUUAACCCACUGAGUGAGGCCAGGGAUGGAACCUGCAUCCUCAUGGUUCCUAGUCAGAUUUGUUUCCUCUGUGCCACGACGGGAACUCCUCCUUGUGGAGUUUAAAGUCAUGUGAGGGAGAUGACCUUCGUCAGUUAAUAACUCACAAGACAUAAAAUCAUAACAGUGAUGAGUGCUAUGGGGGGAGGUCCCCUAGUCAGGAAGGUCAGGGAAGGAUCUUGGAGAAGUGACACCAGACUUGAGAGAUGAAGGGCGAUUAGGAGUAAACUAGGUGGAGAAGAAAAGGAAUGAUGUUCCAUGCAAAAGGAACAGCAUGUGCAAAGAGUGCUUCCACCAAGGAGGGAAUUGGAGGGUGUCCUGGGAACCAGGAGAAGGCCACCCUGUCUUUCUAGAGUGGAGAGAGGCAGGGUGGGGAAUCAGGUGGCUGCCUCAUGCUGGGAAGACCUCUGCAUGACUUUAUCAUACGAGCGGCAGAAAGCCACUGAGCUGUCUUCAGCUGGGAGCUGUCCUGGUCAGAGUGGCGUUGAUGGGCCUGGGGCCAACAGAGACCAACAUGGAGGCUGUUGCAGGGUCUGGGGGAGAUGUGCUGGGGGUUGGGCCAGAGUGGUAGCAACGAGGUGGAGGGAAGGGCAGGCUGGAGAGCUAUGUAUUAAGGUAAAACAGCUGGCCUUUGGUGCUGCAGUGUGUAUGGGAGGUGAGGCUGGGGAGGAGUUAGGGAUGACCUCAAGUCCUUGAAUGGAGCACCUGGGAUGGUGGGGCCACCCAGUGAGGGAGAGAAGAUGGGGAGGACCAGGUCAGGGAGGGGGGCAGCCACUUACGGACUGGGUGAACGGGGCGAUGUCUGCAGAGUCUGGCUCAGAGCAGGGGCUCCUGCGUAUCUAGGCCCCCGCCUUUCCCUCCAGCGGUGGAUUAAACAGGUGCUACUGUCCCCAUUUUACUUUAUUUUUUUUAUAAUUUGCAUUUUUAAUUUUUUAUUUACUUAUAUUUAAUUUACUUUUUAUAUAUACGUAAAACCUUUAAUAGUUGGUAAGGAGGAACAAAGAACUAGCUCCACAUCCUGGACAAUCUACCAUCCUAUCCUUAGGGGCUUUGGUUAGUUAGAUCAGCAGUGGUGAAGAAUAUGGAUUCAGUAAUCCACACGUCUCCCUCGUGGGUGGCAGCACGACUGUUCACUAUUACCUCCAGACUGUAUCCCUAGCUUUUAUUGAUUUAUUUUUAUGAUUUUUAUUUUUUCCAUUUUUGCUGAUUUACAGUGUUCUGUCAACUUUUUGCUGCACAGCCAGGUGACCCUGUCACACAUACAUGUAUGCAUUCUUUUUUCUCACAUUAUCAUGCUCCAUCACAAGGGACCAUAGUUCCCAGUGCUAUGCAGCAGGAUCCCCUUGCUUAUCCAUUCCCUUACUGUCCCCAUUUUAAGGAUGCGGAAGCUGAGUCUCAUCCAAAGUCCCACAUUGUUGGAAGCAGGCUCACAGAGAGGUCAUGGGAAGGACAUUGCCUUUCUGCCAGGCUGCCCUGAACAUCGGUUUGCAGAUCCUGAGAGCUGCCAUGAUCCAUUUAUCAGCUGCUCAGUCACCAUCACAGGCCUGGUGUGAGGUGGGAAGAGGGGACAAAGUUCCGGCAGGAAAUGCAGUUGGGGGAGGGGACAGAGGCGUGUUGGUGUGAGGGUAGGCCCCGAGUCCUUAGAAGGGCAGGAAGUGAAAUACCAAACAGCCAACUUCCAAAAUGUAGUGUCCUCACAAAGUUUGUUUUCCAUUCACACAAAGUCCAGGAUGGGCGCUCUGAUUGGCAGGUGGCCUGCCUCUGGGUGGAGAGGCCCCCUGGCUCUUUCCAUCUGCGGCUGUGCCAUCUUCUAGAGCAAGAGGUCAAGGCAGGGGGCGGAGAGGUGGAUGGGGCACAUCUGCUUCUCAACAUCCUCAGCUCAGAAGAGAUACAGGUUGCUUCUUCUCAUGCUCUACCAGCUCAAUGGCAAAGGAGCUGGAAACAUCCUCCAAACGGGUGCCUAGGAAGAGGAGACAAUGAGUUUAGUGCCAAGCCUUGUUGAGAAGGGACAUUUGAGCAAAGACAGAUGCUGACAUAUGAGGACACUUGUGGAAGGGCAAAGGGAGCAGCAGGUACAAAGGUCCUGUGGUAGAGCUGGCCCACCGCGUUCAGGGCCGAAUUGUGUGUUUUUUUUUUAAAUUGCCUCACCGAUGGCAUUAGGAAGUUCCCAGGCCAGAGAUCGAACCCACACCACAGCAGCAACCUGGGCUGCUGCAGUGACAAUGCUGGAUCCUCAACCUGCUGUGCCACAGAGGAAUUCCAGGACCCCAAUGUAAACAAUCCAGGCAGAGAUGGUGGCAGUAGCAGCGCGUGGGGCGCGGGGAGAAGUGAUGAGGCUCUGAAUCCAUCUGUAGGCAGAUCCCUCCUUUCCUUGCUUCCCUCCUUUCUCAGUUUUCUAGAAGGGAUGAAAGAAGACACACUGAGGCCUGUCUACUUCUGUGCCCUUUUCUGGAGGGUAAACCCCAUGAGGGCAAGGACCGGGCCUGACUGCUCUCCUCGCCCUCACGCCUGGCACCGGGAGGGCCCAAGGCCAAUGUCUCUAAUGUGUCCACGGAGCGAAGGUACAUCCCCCUGAGUCAUCAGUUUCCCGGGGCUGAGCCCCGGCCCUGCUGGUCAGCAUACUGCUCAGUGACCUGGAAGUCUUUCCUGGGGCCCGGCCACCCCCACCCCGACUCUGAAAAGACCUCCCACAGGAGGUCGGGGGAUGCGGACGAAGGAGAUGGGGCUCAGAGUUGUGAGGGCAUCAUGGGGACUUCUGCUGGGAAGACGACAUCACAGGUGCUUCACAGGGUCUUGGAUGUGCCCACCUGCUGGGUGCAGGAAGUGACCGGAGGCACUGACAGCUGUGCCAGGAGAGACCCCGGCUCGGUGCGGAAGCUUGCCUUGCCCCGCACCUUCCUUGGUGUGUGGAUGGACCCCCAGCGGCCUCUGAGGGGCCUCUCGAGCUUGGUCCCCGGGGUGCCCUUUACCCACUGUCCUGAGACACCUUUCCUGCAACACCCCUCACCCUGACCUUUUACAGACCCCUGGGGGCAGCUGCUGUUUCCAGCGACUCAGGCUCUGGGUGUCUCAGAGCCCCCGCCUUCAAUUCAAAACGUUGCUGCAGGCUUCCGGCCUUCUCCUGAAGCCCGUUCUGAGAGCUGAGUUUCCUGUGCUCUCACGCCACAAAUUAACUGCCUUUGCACUUUUCCCACAGGUUUUCACUCGUUCUUGUGGCAGCCAUGAAGGGGUGGUGGUUACAAGCGUGUGAACUCUGGAAUUAGACAGAUUGGAGCCGUGUCGUAGCUUCUCCCCUUACGAAUGGUCACAGGAGCAAAGCCCUCUGAGCCUCAGUUUGUUCAUCUGUAAAAUGAGGACAGUCAUUGUAACGAUCUAAGAGCUCGAUUGUGAAGAUUAAAUUGAGGAAGUGACAAAACGCCUAGAACCAUAAUGAAUGCAGUUUUUUUUGGUUUGUUUGUUUGUCUUUUUAGGGCUGCACCCACGGCAUAUGGAGGUUCCCAGGCCAGGGGUCAAAUUAGAGCUGUAGCUGCCAGCCUACGCCAGAGCCACAGCAAUGCAGGGUCUGAGCCGAAUCUGUGACCUACACCACAGCUCACGGCAACGCCUUGGGAUCCUUAACCCACUGAGCGAGGCCAGGGAUCGAACUUGGGUCCUCAUGGAUGCUAGUCAGAUUCGUUUCCACUGAGCCAUGAUGGGAACUUCCUGAAUGCAGAUUAUUAUUACCCUUAAUAGCAACCCCGAAGAGAGGCAGGGCUCUCAGUGCAGGCCAGCAGCCCGGCCGGCUCCGAGCCCGCUCCUGCUUCCACCAGCCUCUCGGGCAAGUUCCACUUCAGGCCAGAGCCAGAUGAGAAAGCUCUGCGUGUGCUGAGCCUUCGGGGGAGACUGAGAACAGCUGAAUCCAUGAAUGAUGCCUCUGCAGGUGCCAGGGCCCCAUGGCCCCACCCUCACCCAGUGCCAGCGCUCUGCCCGCCAGACCCUUGUCAGCGGUUACAACCUCCAACUGCCUCCCGCUGCCCCAGUUUUAUCAAAAGCUCAGUUGAGAGAAAAAGUUCAUGGGGGUUAUUUAAAGGCCAUGCAUUCCAUCCAUUCUUCCAGAUGAGACUUAUCCCUGAACCGAGUCAGCCUCUCAUGGAGCCGAGUGGCUCUUGGACCACGUUAUUUAGACACCACAGAGUCUUUCUUAUGCCCUCCCUCAUGGUGGGCCUUUCUGGAAAAUGGCCAGUGGAGUCCCUCUGUCACAUUUAUUUUGGGAGGCUGCUGUCGCUAGCUGUCACUGCCUCAGCCAGCGCUGGGUAGAAGAAUAUAUUUCAGGUUCCAGUUCCUGGCAAAGCUCUGCAUCCUCAGAGGAACCGGUGGGCUUCUGAUUAUGGGCCACGUAACUCAUGAAACUGGCCCCAAUUCUCAUGUCACUUGGGCCACCAGGAAACUCAGAGCCAAAGGUGGGGCUCCACUCUAAGGAUCCUAGAGCAUCUCUUGGCCUGUUGCAUAGAGCAGAUGAUUUCUUCCCAGAUGCUGAUUUCUAACAGCUAAGAUGGUGAUGACGAUGAUGUGUGCACCUCGUCAACUGCUUUAGGGCUCCAGUGGGACUGGAGUGGGAGUGUCCAUCCUGGAAAACAGGGAUGGAGGACCAGCCAGGGCGAGUGAAAAAGGAGGAGGGGGAGGCGAGGAAAGAGAUGGUGUGAGACCUGGUGAGGUGGGAUGAGACCGUUUCUAGGCCACUUCGGGGUUGGUUAAGGGUCUAGCGUCACUCACCCGUAGAGGGUGAAAAGAGGAUUUUCCAUGAAUUUGUGAAGACAACCACAGCUGAGGGCUGAGGAGUCCGGACCCCUCACGGAAAGCGUAGCAGCAGAGUAUCGAACAUGAAUCGAAACUGCUACUGUCUGCCAAACACUUAGGGACCAUUAUCAUUGCCCUUUGAGUGGAUUUAUUUUCAUGAGUCAUAUGCUUCAGCAGCUCACUGUCCUAGCCAGGCCCCUUCACCUGUCUGUUUAUCUAUCCUCUAGGCUUCAACUCCAUUGACAUUUGGGGUCAGAUAUUUCUUUGUUACGGGGGCUGUUCUGGGCAUUAUGGAGUGUUCAGCAGCAUCCCUGGUCUCUAGCCACUAAAUGCCAAUAGCACCCCCACCUUAUGACAACAGAAAAAGUCUCCAGACAUUGCCCAANNNNNNNNNNNNNNNNNNNNNNNNNNNNNNNNNNNNNNNNNNNNNNNNNNNNNNNNNNNNNNNUCUGUCCCAUUCGUCACUUGUACCUCCCUCUCUGAUACAUUAACCGGUACCCUGUUCGCGUUGGUUCUUGCAGCUGUUAACUGCCUGCUUGUAUCCUUUGCUCAGUUUUCCAUUCAGUCUGCCAUCUCCUUCUUUGGCUUUGUGAAGGGUGGUUUUUGGAAUUUCCACUAUGGUACAAUGGGAUCUGUGGCAUCUCUGGAGUGCUAGGAUGCAGGUUCGAUCCCCAGCCCAGCACAGUGGGUUAAGGAUCCAUCGUUGCCGCCACUGUGGCUUAAGUUGCAACUGCAGCUCAGAUGUGAUCCCUGGCCCAGGAACUCCAUAUGUCAUGGGGUAGCCAAAA
Molecule: long non-coding RNA, 6927 nt
Filed under: Sus scrofa (pig)
Lineage: Eukaryota; Metazoa; Chordata; Mammalia; Artiodactyla; Suidae
Description: lncRNA (ENSSSCG00005012778.1)
Source: RNAcentral